Molecule: transfer RNA, 77 nt
Filed under: Salvia lachnostachys
Lineage: Eukaryota; Viridiplantae; Streptophyta; Magnoliopsida; Lamiales; Lamiaceae
Description: partial tRNA-Leu
Source: RNAcentral
GGCAACAAUGAAAUUUAUAGUAAGAGGAAAAUCCGUCGACUUUAAAAAUCGUGAGGGUUCAAGUCCCUCUAUCCCCA